AGCUCUCCGAGUGGUGUGGAUGUUUAUUGGGCCUAAAGCAUCCGUAGCUGGCCAAGUUAGUCCCUUGUUAAACCCACCGAAUUAAUCGUUGGAUUGCGGGGGAUACUGCUCGGCUAGGGGACGAGAGAGGCAGACGGUAUUUUCGGGGUAGGGGUGAAAUCCUAUAAUCCCGGGAAGACCACCAGUGGCGAAGGCUGUCUGCUAGAACGCGCCCGACGGUGAGGGAUGAAAGCUGGGGGAGCGAACCG
This 248-nucleotide ribosomal RNA is filed under the name uncultured crenarchaeote. Its description in RNAcentral is "partial 16S ribosomal RNA". It matches the Rfam family "Archaeal small subunit ribosomal RNA", at positions 478 to 726 of the family's 1478-position model. The record is from RNAcentral. Lineage: Archaea; Thermoproteati; Thermoproteota.